Molecule: microRNA, 22 nt
Filed under: Branchiostoma floridae (Florida lancelet)
Lineage: Eukaryota; Metazoa; Chordata; Leptocardii; Amphioxiformes; Branchiostomatidae
Also listed under: 2 other names
Description: bfl-miR-2063
Source: miRBase by way of RNAcentral
UAUUGCACUAAUUUGCUUUUGA